Polistes dominula (European paper wasp) is the source of this 689-nucleotide long non-coding RNA. RefSeq lists it as uncharacterized. The record is from RefSeq and is a predicted model, not a curated record. Lineage: Eukaryota; Metazoa; Arthropoda; Insecta; Hymenoptera; Vespidae.
CUUACACGUCGACCGCUUGGUUGGCCGCUCGAGUAGAGGAAACAAGGACGAGGAAACAAUUCUGAGACCAUCUCUAACCUAAGAUGAAGCAGGAACGACGAAUAAGAGAGAAAACUGAAAUAGACUGAUGCGAGUGAGAUAGAGAUAGAAAGAUCGUAACAUCUCGUGAAGCAGCAAUAUAGAAGGAUUCCCCUAAACAAACGUUCACAGUCGAUCAGAGAUUCGAGAAUCUCUUAGGACCAGACUGACCCUCAAAAAUACUCCAUUUACGAUGAUCCAACACAGAAAAUAAAUCUAUAUAUACCUCCGACGAAAAGUGGUGACAACAAGUGUUUGUAAAUCUGACCCAUCAAGGUAUUAUAAGUAUAAUAAAUUAUGAUAUCGUAGGAAAAAAGUCGUGAAUUUGUAGACAUUCAUUUGGCCGAAAGUUUAUCGAUAAGCUACGAAUACCAAGAAUAUGUAUACAUGUAACAUAUUUCACCAAGAAGAUACGGAAAGAGGGAACGGAAAGGGGUAUAUAAUAUUUUGGCAAACAGAACGUGAUGAUUCACCGAAGUAAGAAAGACCGUGUCGAGAGUGCGAAGGACUUCGUUAAAGAAACCUAGCAGCAAGAGGAUAUCGUUGAAUCUUUAAAACCAAAGGGAUCUAGAACUACUGAAAUAUUUUCUAUAAUAAAAAUGUAAAAAAGA